Molecule: ribosomal RNA, 492 nt
Filed under: uncultured bacterium
Lineage: Bacteria
Description: partial 16S ribosomal RNA
Rfam family: Bacterial small subunit ribosomal RNA
Source: RNAcentral
AGUGAACGCUGGCGGUAGGCCUAACACAUGCAAGUCGAACGGCAGCACAGUAAGAGCUUGCUCUUACGGGUGGCGAGUGGCGGACGGGUGAGGAAUACAUCGGAACCUACUUUUUCGUGGGGGAUAACGUAGGGAAACUUACGCUAAUACCGCAUACGACCUACGGGUGAAAGCAGGGGAUCUUCGGACCUUGCGCGAUUGAAUGAGCCGGUGUCGGAUUAGCUAGUUGGCGGGGUAAAGGCCCACCAAGGCGACGAUCCGUAGCUGGUCUGAGAGGAUGAUCGGCCACACUGGAACUGAGACACGGGCCAGACUCCUACGGGGGGCAGCAGUGGGGAAUAUUGGACAGUGGGCGCAAGCCUGAUCCAGCCAUGCCGCGUGGGUGAAGAAGGCCUUCGGGUUGUAAAGCCCUUUUGUUGGGAAAGAAGAGCAGCAGGUUAAUACCCCGCUGUUCUGACGGUACCCAAAGAAUAAGCACCGGCUAACUUCGUG